Molecule: long non-coding RNA, 1028 nt
Organism: Dermochelys coriacea (leatherback sea turtle)
Lineage: Eukaryota; Metazoa; Chordata; Testudines; Dermochelyidae
Exons: 2
Source: RefSeq, a predicted model, not a curated record
UGAUCUCGUCCUAUGACUUUGCUUUAUUUCCUCCAUUCAGCUUCCAAGUCCACAGGACGAGCUUCCUUGCAUGUAGCAUUUCCAAGUCACUGUUCUUUCAUGGAAAUGUCGCUUUCAUCUGAACACUCGUUGAUUUGUAGUGGAGCAUUCACUUUCUGUAUGGCGGCUUUUCAUUGCCAGUCAUUCUCAAUUGUCCACAUGUCAUGGCCUCCAUUUUGGCUGAUACUAUGGGGACUGAACCAAAGAUCUCCAGAGCGAAAAGCACAAGCUGCUGCAGCGUGAACUAAGGCUCCAAGCUGUCUAGCUGCGUUUAGUAACAACUCCUAUCCUCUGCGGAUCAAACUGGUAACACACUCGCCGCUGAGUUACCCAACGAUGGGAUUGUAGCGAAAAAAGCUCAUCACCAGGAGUGCAGAAACAAAAUGCAGCAUCUAAAGCAAAUCUUGAUGAAUACAAUAGGCCAAGGUUUCAUUUACACCAGUGUAAAUCUGGGGUGCCUGUUGACUGAAGCCAGCAUAAAUGAGAUUGGAAUUUGUGCUGCUGCUCUUAAGAUCAUCUGCCACAUCCAAAUAAAAACUGAGUUUGAAAUCUAGUCCUGGCCAGUGUUAGACCAUAAGAGCGUGUCUCCCUCCUGAGUAAUAAGUGUAUGAAUUAAAAAACAAACCUCACAGGAGCACGUCCGGGUGAUUAAGAGGCAUUGAAUGCUCGGCUCAAGCAGGUCCUGCCUUUGACAUAUUAUUUACUGUACAUCAGGAAAAUAAAAUCGUGCCGUUUUUAAAGCUCCCAUUUGCUCCAGCAGAGAUGAGAAGGCUCCAGCUCAUUAUCAAUCGAAUGACUGCUGCUCCCUGGAUAGCCCUUAACUGGCUCCAUUCCCCUUUGCAGACUGCUCAAACCCAGCCACUUGUCAGCCGUUGUGGGAGUGUACCUCUGUUGGUGGCCUGUGCUUCCACAGCCAUUAUAUUCCCUUUCUGCUGGAGAUUUGCUUAUGUAGGGCUCAGAUGCAAUGAAAUUAAAUGUCCCUGCAUUGA